Molecule: non-coding RNA, 199 nt
Organism: Clostridium kluyveri DSM 555
Lineage: Bacteria; Bacillati; Bacillota; Clostridia; Eubacteriales; Clostridiaceae
Source: Rfam
GAGAACUGAUAGUUUGAAAAGUCAAAUGAUGAGGUAACGCUUUGAAGGGCUUUCUCUAAUCUACGACUGGCAUUUAAUGAAUAAGCAUUGAAGUGUCAGAUAGCUCGUUGAAGUCGGCUGAGAGUACACCCUAACGGAUUAUGCUGAGGAAAUGUGAACCAGAGGUGGUCAAGUGUAUGAUAGGUCGGGAGUCUAUAAA